RNAcentral lists this ribosomal RNA (449 nucleotides) under uncultured bacterium. Its description in RNAcentral is "partial 16S ribosomal RNA". It matches the Rfam family "Bacterial small subunit ribosomal RNA", at positions 29 to 523 of the family's 1533-position model. The record is from RNAcentral.
AGCGAACGCUGGCGGCAGGCCUAACACAUGCAAGUCGAACGGACCCUUCGGGGUUAGUGGCGGACGGGUGAGUAACACGUGGGAACGUGCCCUUUGGUUCGGAAUAGCUCCUGGAAACGGGUGGUAAUGCCGAAUGUGCCCUUCGGGGGAAAGAUUUAUCGCCAUUGGAGCGGCCCGCGUCUGAUUAGCUAGUUGGUGAGGUAAAGGCUCACCAAGGCGACGAUCAGUAGCUGGUCUGAGAGGAUGAUCAGCCACAUUGGGACUGAGACACGGCCCAAACUCCUACGGGAGGCAGCAGUGGGGAAUCUUGCGCAAUGGGCGAAAGCCUGACGCAGCCAUGCCGCGUGAAUGAUGAAGGUCUUAGGAUUGUAAAAUUCUUUCACCGGGGACGAUAAUGACGGUACCCGGAGAAGAAGCCCCGGCUAACUUCGUGCCAGCAGCCGCGGUAA